Molecule: ribosomal RNA, 252 nt
Filed under: uncultured bacterium
Lineage: Bacteria
Description: partial 16S ribosomal RNA
Rfam family: Bacterial small subunit ribosomal RNA
Source: RNAcentral
UACGAAGGGGCUAGCGUUGUUCGGAAUUACUGGGCGUAAAGCGUGCGCAGGCGGCUUCUCAAGUCAGGGGUGAAAGCCCAGAGCUCAACUCUGGAAUUGCCUUUGAGACUGAGUGGCUUGAGUGCGAGAGAGGUGAGUGGAAUUCCCAGUGUAGGGGUGAAAUUCGUAGAUAUUGGGAAGAACACCGGUGGCGAAGGCGGCUCACUGGCUCGUAACUGACGCUCAUGCACGACAGCGUGGGGAUCAAACAGG